This 1262-nucleotide ribosomal RNA is filed under the name metagenome. Its description in RNAcentral is "bacterial SSU rRNA". It matches the Rfam family "Bacterial small subunit ribosomal RNA", at positions 245 to 1498 of the family's 1533-position model. The record is from RNAcentral.
CUAGUUGGUAGGGUAAUGGCCUACCAAGGCUUCGAUCCGUAGCUGGUCUGAGAGGAUGAUCAGCCACACUGGGACUGAGACACGGCCCAGACUCCUACGGGAGGCAGCAGUGGGGAAUAUUGGACAAUGGGCGGAAGCCUGAUCCAGCAAUGCCGCGUGUGUGAAGAAGGCCUGCGGGUUGUAAAGCACUUUCAGUUGGGAGGAAAAAGUGAAGGAUAAUACCCUUCAAAAUUGACAUUACUAACAGAAGAAGCACCGGCUAACUCUGUGCCAGCAGCCGCGGUAAUACAGAGGGUGCAAGCGUUAAUUGGAAUUACUGGGCGUAAAGCGCACGUAGGUGGUUUGACAAGUUGGGUGUGAAAUCCCCGGGCUUAACCUGGGAACUGCAUUCAAAACUAUCAAGCUAGAGUAGAGUAGAGGGAAGUGGAAUUUCCGGUGUAGCGGUGAAAUGCGUAGAUAUCGGAAGGAACACCAGUGGCGAAGGCGGCUUCCUGGACUCAUACUGACACUGAGGUGCGAAAGCGUGGGGAGCAUACAGGAUUAGAUACCCUGGUAGUCCACGCCGUAAACGAUGAGAACUAGAUGUUGGAGAGAUUUAACUCUCUAGUAUCGAAGCUAACGCGUUAAGUUCUCCGCCUGGGGAGUACGGCCGCAAGGUUAAAACUCAAAGAAAUUGACGGGGGCCCGCACAAGCGGUGGAGCAUGUGGUUUAAUUCGAUGCAACGCGAAGAACCUUACCUACCUUUGACAUACUUGGAAUCCUGCAGAAAUGCGGGAGUGCCUUCGGGAACCAAGAUACAGGUGCUGCAUGGCUGUCGUCAGCUCGUGUCGUGAGAUGUUGGGUUAAGUCCCGUAACGAGCGCAACCCUCGUCCCUAGUUGCUAACAGGUAAAGCUGAGAACUUUAGGGAGACUGCCGGUGACAAACCGGAGGAAGGUGAGGUUGACGUCAAGUCCUCAUGGCCUUUAUAGGUAGGGCCACACACGUGCUACAAUGGAAAGUACAAUGGGUAGCCAACCCGCAAGGGGGAGCCAAUCUCUAAAAACUUUUCGUAGUCCGGAUUGGAGUCUGAAACUCGACUCCAUGAAGUUGGAAUCGCUAGUAAUCGCGAAUCAGAACGUCGCGGUGAAUACGUUCACGGGCCUUGUACACACCGCCCGUCACACCAUGGGAGUGGGUUGUACCAGAAGCAGGUAGACUAACCUUCGGGAGGUCGCCUACCACGGUAUGAUUCAUGACUGGGGUGAAGUCGGAACAAGGUA